AGAGCUGAGGAUCUCUGUCAGCUAUUUAUAUCGGUAUUUCUCUAUCGAGACCCAAAGCGCUCAGCGCUUUUGGCAACAGCAGUCUUAACCUUGUUCACUCGCCAUGGUAUAUCUGUGAAUGUCAGUAUGGAAAGGCUUACAGCCUUUUUGGGGAAUAUUUUGACAGACACAGCAGAGGAACAUAACCCUUUACCUACAGGUUGGGGCAUGUGUGAUGGCCUUCUGUCACUGAUUCUCCACAGACUAUCUGAG
Sinocyclocheilus anshuiensis is the source of this 252-nucleotide long non-coding RNA. RefSeq lists it as uncharacterized. The record is from RefSeq and is a predicted model, not a curated record. Lineage: Eukaryota; Metazoa; Chordata; Actinopteri; Cypriniformes; Cyprinidae. The transcript has 3 exons.